This 324-nucleotide long non-coding RNA is filed under the name Olea europaea (common olive). RNAcentral describes it as "long non-coding RNA (OEUR_LNC003147)". Lineage: Eukaryota; Viridiplantae; Streptophyta; Magnoliopsida; Lamiales; Oleaceae. The record is from RNAcentral.
CCAUUUCCAUAUUUCCAUUUGAAGCAGAAGCGCGAAUCUCUGUGGCGGUGAAGCGUGUGCGAAGUCACGGACGAGAAGCAGAAGCACCAGCCUUUGUUAAUCCGUGGCGGUAGAGCGUGUGUAUUUUUCUUCAACUUUGAUAGGUUGUUUUCUUCUCAAAGCUGCCUUUAUUAAUUUGUGUGUAUAAAGAAUUAAUUCUACAGCAACCAGCCCUUCUGCGUUCUAUAGUCUAUGUGUAUAAAAAUAGUAAAGGUAGGAGUCUCGAACACUUGUCAAAUUAGGCGGAGAAGGACAAUAUUUAAAAAUAGUAGCGAGGGGAAGGCA